Molecule: long non-coding RNA, 6330 nt
Organism: Apis cerana (Asiatic honeybee)
Lineage: Eukaryota; Metazoa; Arthropoda; Insecta; Hymenoptera; Apidae
Source: RefSeq, a predicted model, not a curated record
AGGACAUCCCGUAUGAGCAAUUCACGUGAGCGCUUUGCUCUCGAGCGAUAAUAAAAAUAGUCACACGAAACUAGUAGAGGAAUUGGAAGAGGAGAGAAUCGGAAGCGACGUUACGUGCGAACUUCGAGAUGUUUUAAUCGAAAGAUUUGUAUAUCAUCCAAGUUACAAUUAAAAUUGAAUAAUGGAUCUAUUAGAAAAAAAAAUAUUUUUCAUCGAGAGAAAUAAUUUAGAGAAAUAAUUUUCAAUAUUACUUCCUAAAAGAUAGCUUAUCGCUUCACAGAUUAAUUAUUAUGUUAUAUAAAUUUCAUAAAGUUUUUGCAAUUUAUCUUUGAUAAUAUUCGAAUUAUUUCCUGGAAGAUAACUUAUAAUUUCACAGAUUUAUUAUUAUUAUAUAUAUUUCGCAAAGUGUUUUGUAAAUUUCGUUUUACAAUUUCUUCGAUAAUUUAUAUUUUAAAAGAUAAUUUAUCAGUUUGCAAUUGUUAUUAUAAUAUCUACAGAAUUUCAAUUUAAGAAUACAGGAAGUAACGUUUUAAUAAAAUCACCGCUCGUCUUUCUUUGGCAGCUCUUUCCUUUUAUGCCAGUUCGUCGUGUUACAUUUACUGCAAAAUUGAUCCCCACUUUCUUUAGUUGUGAAACGUUUUCUUCAAUCCCCUUCGGAACGAUCCAAAGGUCUAUUUACCGUGCAAUUCUUAGCUCGACUCUCUAUCAUUAUCGUCGAUACUCGAGAAAUAUAGAUAUCGCGUGUAACACAUUUCCUGCAAUUCGCUAAAUCUACUCUGACAUUUCUAACGGCAAAAAUUUCGAUCAUUUAUGCAAUUAUUUUAGAAAAUAAGUUGUUAAAAUUUUGCGAGAUAUAACAAUAAUUAAUAUGUGAAGUGGUAAGUUGUUUUUUAAGAAAAUAAUAUGAAAAUUAUUGAAGAUAAUGUUUGAUGAUGCUUAACAUUUUAUGAUAGUGUUAAUUGCUUUAUUGCAAAUAUUGGUAUUUAACAGAAUUUUAUUUUUUCUAUGAUAUAUAAGAAAUUUAAAAAAGAUAUUAAUGUAAAUGAAUAUUAUGAAGAAGAUAUUAAUGUUUAUUUAUUAUAAUGUGAAUAUAAUGUAUAAUAUUCAUAUAAAUUCAUUUUAUAUUUAUAAAAAUAUACGUUUUAUAAUUCUUUCUUCAUAUAAUAAAUUAUAUUUAAUGGAGAAAAUUAUGAAGAUAUUCGAAAUACAAUAAAUUUUGUUAUUUCAUCAAUAAUAUUUAAAAUAAUUAAUAAUAAAUAAUUAUAAACAAAAAAUAUUAGAUUGUUUUGAGGAAAAUUUAAAAAUGAAGCUAUUUAAACAUAUAGAAUAAGAAACAUAAAGAUUAAAGAAAUAACCAUAAUAAUCUUCUGGGAAGAUAUUUCAGUUUCACGAUACUUUAUGCAAAAGUAAAUAAGGAUCAAAAAACACGCCUCUUCGAAUUUUAUAUUGCACACAACUGAGUUUGAAGAGUAACUUGAUGCCGCAGAAUUUUUCCAACCUUUCCCUCAAACAGUGAUUUAAAUAAUUCGCAAUUUCCCCGCCCGCAAACGACACACCAUUACGAAAUCUUUAACCACCGGUCGUUUUUGCCGUGAAGAAACCCGUUAAUGUCCACGUAACGUUGCAAACUUGAUGUUGGCCACUAAUGCCACUACCUUUUCGUCUAGAAUGCGAGCUGACUUCGCAAAAUCCAACUAUUUCGUUUCUUAGAUUGAAAGAAAAAGUUUACGUGCAUAUAGAAAUUCUUGCUGAAUACCAAAUAAAGAAAAUAAAAUAUUCUGAUUACAAAACGUAAUUAGAGAUAUAUAAAAUAUAAAAUGAAUUUCAGUAAUAAAGAUCCAUUCAUUUUAAAUUUUCAACGUUUUUAUAUUUGAUUAUUUUUUAAAUAAAAUAAACUUGUACGAGAAUCAAUUUUCUUUUGAUAUUUUUAUUUUAUCAUAUUUUAUCACGAAUGAUUACAAUUCAUUUGUGUUAAAUUUUAAUAUUUUACGUCUAGGUAUUUUUGUAUUAUUAUAAAAUAAGUUUUAUUUCGUAUCAAAUAUACUUAUUUAAUAUUUGAUUUUUAUUUGACAAUUUGAAUUAUUAUCAUCAUAAAACAUAAAUUUUCUAUUACACGUUUUAAUUUUCUAUCUUUUUAUCUUCUUUUAGCCAGAUUAAAAUUGAUGUCAUUGAUUCAGUUCCACGAUUAAGAAUUAUGAAAUAUCUAUAAAAAUAAUGACAGGUUCACACAUAUAUCGUUCUAAAAACCACAAUGAUGUUAUCUCAGUGUUCAUAGAAGUGACUAACACUGCGGUUUCCUGUGAGGGUGUUCCUUUGUCGGCUAUGUAAAUACUCACUGAGAUUAAACACACAGUUUUACUCAAAGGAACGUAUCUGCUAAUCCAAUUAUUAUUUUAUGAUACCGUCAUAUCACCGAUUGCAUUGAUAACACGAAAUUAUUAUUCAGAAUUCGUUAAACAUUACGUGAUUCUGUGCGAAUAAUUGUUGAUCCAAUGUUUGUUUAAAAAAUUCAAGAAAUUGACUAGUAAACAGAAAAUAUAAAAUAUUUGAAAUUUCUGAUGGUGUAAUUUUACGACGGAUUGGAAUGAGACGAGGUAAAAAUAGAUGUUAUACAGGAAUUUUUACGGAAAUGAAAUAAAUGAUCAAAGAUUUGCAAAAUAUGUUUUUGUACGGCUGAAAUCCUAAGAAUUGUGAAAUCGAUUCUCCAAAUUAUUACGAAUUCUUUUUAAAUUUUAUAUGCGUGAAUCACAUACAAUAUUUUGCUUCAUUGUGUAAAAUUUUAAUUGAAACGUCAGAUUUUUGCUUUUUAUCGUUAACAGAGAUAAUAUUGGAAUGCAGCUUGUUUGCAUAUCGUUAAUUUUGUCUGGGAACAAAAAAUUAAUGAGAAGUUUUUGAAAAAAAAACUGGAAUAAUUUAAAUUGAACAAAACAGGAGACGUAUUACGAUAUAUGCAAAAUUGAAGUAAAGACGUGAUACAACAGUUUUAUAUGAUAAAAUAAUAUUAUCUGCAAUUUGGUAGCAGAAAUAAAGUAUGUCGUUGAUAAAAUAAAAUAUUAUUGAUGUCUCAGAUAAAUUCCAUAUUUAGUAAUAAAUUUUUCUUUGAAAAUUAAUUUGAUCAUCUUAUCUUGUUAUAUUAAAUAUAAACUAAUGAAAUAUUUAUAAUUAUAUUUAUUGUCAAUAACUGAAGUUUCAAGUAAUUUCAAGUAGCCAAGAUUCGAAAGAAUACAAUCAACAUAUUGUAAUUCUCUUCUCACAUAUUUUAACAAAGUAUCGGCUUAUUAAGCACAUUAACAUGUUUUCCAAUACGUGCAACACGCGUUUAACACGUGUUGCUGAGUUCAUCAUGACGAACGAGGUAAAUCUCUCCUGUUUCGUGGCCUAACGUAGACUGGGUUCAUAAAAAGAGACUCUCACGAAGCUAACGAGGCUAUGCAAAGUUUCUUCACUUUCGAAAGAGGCUUUAAUGAAACGACGCACGAAAAACGAGCAUCGACUCGGAGAGAAACUUUUGCGUUUUUGAAGAGAACCGACUCGAAAUACGGAGAUUAUUAAUCCAUUAAGGAUGGAGUGGUGAAAUAUUUACGCGUAUAAUUAUUCACCAUUUAUCAAGAAUGAUUCUAAUGCAUGGACGAUUUGACGAUUGAAUAAAUAUUAAUUUUAUUAAUCAUUAAUGCUACGUAAAGUAUUCAUCAUAAAAUAGAGACAUAGAAAACAUUUCGUAAUAUUUUGUAACAUUGUUAAUUCUAAUUGAAAAAUAAAAUACCAAGCAAAUUCUUGGAAUUAUAAUAUAAGUAUCUUAAGCCUCUCAAUACUUUGGAGAUUAAAAAAGGAAAAAAUAUCUUUUUAUUAAUUAUUUAUUAUAAGUAUAUCUUAGAAUGUUUUUAUAAAAAAGAUUAACGUAUUAAAUUUCUAGAUCUAUUUUUAUUAAUGAAAAGAAAAGGAUUAAUGAAUUAAAUGAAAUGGCGAAGAUAAAAGUGAAUUUUCGUUAAAGGAUAAGCAUAUGUGAAACAAUGAGACUUUUUUCUUUUUUUUUUUGCACGAGUGUUUGUGGAUGCAAUCUCGAGUAAUAAUCGCGCCUAGAUGAAGAUGAAAUCUCGAUGGUACAGACAUAAUCUACGUCCAAUCUGCCAAUACUAUUAGCUAAUAACACGACAUUAGUCGGUGAAUAUUGCAGCAACAUCGAAAGGAGAUGGUAUAAAUUCCAAAUGAGUAAUUUCGAGACGUAUUGGCGAUUUAGCCAAUUCGUUGAAAUCGAAUUGAAUCGUCAAAGAAAUAUGGUUGUAAAACAUAAUUUGAAUAUAAUUUUAUAAACAUAAUUAGAAUCUAAUUAAAAACAUUUCGUGUGAAAAACCUUGUGGGUGAGGAUAUCCUGUUUAUUGGGCAACAAUAUUAUUUUCAUUGGGAUUUUCAUUGUUUAAACAGAGAAUACUUGUUGAAAUUGUAUCUUAAGACUCGAUUAAAAAUUACAAAUUACAUGAUUUUGAAUCUUGACAUUCCUUAAUUUAUUUCAUUUUAUUUAUUUUUAGAAUUUUGAACAUGUUAAAAUUUAUAUUCGAGAAAUAUAGAUACCAGUAUGUAUGGGCAAAAAGUUACAUUCGAUUUCAAGAUGGCUAAUCAGCGGCUAAUUAACGUUAGAAUGAUCGUAAUUUGGAUUAUGAAAGUUCACGUUGCAUCCUGGUGUAAGCAGUGAGGUAAUUGUAUCGGUGUUUUCUCACGAUUCUUACCUCUGUACUGAGACGCAGCAUGAAAGUGGUAAGAUGCUCCGUCAAGGUCUUCGUCAGCUUGAAGAGGACUUAGGCUCAAAAGUUUUGGCGCCUCGGCGUGGCCACGAAACCAACGCAUUUCUGGAAUAAUAACAUUAAUAACAAUAAUAAUUAUCUCUCACAUAUAAAUAUUUUUAUCGAAUCGAACAAAAUUAUUCUUUCGCCCUUAUCCAUUGCAUUAAUAUUCCAUAUUAAUUUAUAUAUAUAUAUAUUACAGAAUAUCGAAAGAUUGCAAAGUAUCGAUCGCCAUAAUAAUAAUUUAUAAAAGUGAAACGAGUUACACUUGCGGUGAAUGGAUUUCGCGUGAACGAAUGGCGACAGUUUCCGCCGUGUUCGCUGAACCGAGGCCCUUCCUUUCUAUCUCGUGAUUGCACUUGUUACUGAUACUGAAUAUUGUGUAAAAAAAAAGAAGGAAAAAAGGCUUGAUGAACGGGCAACCUUGGCAAAGAAUGGAGGAUGUCAUAAAUUACGAGGCUAUCGUUAAAUCAAUUCACUGCUCAAUUCACUGUUUGAUUCGAAAUGCGUCGAUCACAUCGACGAUGUAGAUUACGCAAUAUUUCAAAAAAAUCGUACAUUCGGAAAAUUCUCAUUUCUUUUUUUUUGUUUCGAUCCACUGAAUCAUUUAUUGAUUGAGAUUCGUCAAUAUAUAGGUAAUAAAAAAGAAGAGGAUUAAUAUACAGAUUAUUUAAAAUAAUACUAAAUAAUUCUUUAUUAUAAUAAUUUAAAAUUUGUACAAAUAAAUCACAUUCUCCUUUGUUCACUUAUUUAAUUUUGUGAAAUUAUAUAUAUGAAUUUAUUACAUAUUAUGUAUAACAUUAUUCAACAUUUCGUAUCAUUAAUUAAAAAUAACAAUUUUCUCUAUAUCAACCAAAAAUAAAUGAUUCCUUUCCAAUCUAAUACAGAUCUUACUUUACAGGAAUUUAACAAGUAUCGAUUACAUGGUCGACAAAUUGUAUUCCUGCCUCUUUUUGCAGGCGUUAAAAUCUCCGAUAGUGUCGUAACGGUAGCUCGUUCACUCCUUCUAAAGUAAUAGAACAUUACAUUUCAAGAUUUCCCGGCGGGCGUAGAAAUUUUGCUAUCACACACGCGCGUGUAGAAUCCUGUUUCCACGAGACGGCCGCGUAAUGAGAUGAUUAAUACCGCGAAAUCGAGUUAUGCAAGGUGUUAAUGCAUCGAUUAUGUAGCACGCAACCACCGUGAGAGAAAGAGGCGAGGGGACGAGAGAUGCGACUUUCUCCGAUGCAAAUAUGUGUGCCGUCUCCGUUGCUUCCACGUCCACUUUUCACUUUUCAUUCAGACGACUGAUGACUAUCAAAGAAGAUGAAUCGAGGAUCAAAGGUUGGCCUUCCGUCGACAGCAAGUUCACGGUCAAGUGAACUCGAGAAACGCACGCUUUGUCACACUUGGUCGGUCGCGAUUACUCAGAAAAGUAUGCGUAUACUGAAGGAUUGAUGAUCAUUAAAAUUAGAAUUGUAUUUUGUUUCUUGGAAUGUAUCGUUUCAAUAAUUAUUUAAAUAUAUAUUGUAAAGAAAAUUCCUUUUUAAAAUAUAAAUUUCUUGAAAAAUUU